Molecule: ribosomal RNA, 1492 nt
Filed under: Enterococcus mundtii
Lineage: Bacteria; Bacillati; Bacillota; Bacilli; Lactobacillales; Enterococcaceae
Description: partial 16S ribosomal RNA
Rfam family: Bacterial small subunit ribosomal RNA
Source: RNAcentral
GUCCAUGGGGUAUCUAUACAUGCAGUCGACGCUUCUUUUCCCACCGGAGCUUGCUCCACCGGGAAAAGAGGAGUGGCGAACGGGUGAGUAACACGUGGGUAACCUGCCCAUCAGAAGGGGAUAACACUUGGAAACAGGUGCUAAUACCGUAUAACAAUCGAAACCGCAUGGUUUCGUUUUGAAAGGCGCUUUACGGUGCCGCUGAUGGAUGGACCCGCGGUGCAUUAGCUAGUUGGUGAGGUAACGGCUCACCAAGGCCACGAUGCAUAGCCGACCUGAGAGGGUGAUCGGCCACAUUGGGACUGAGACACGGCCCAAACUCCUACGGGAGGCAGCAGUAGGGAAUCUUCGGCAAUGGACGAAAGUCUGACCGAGCAACGCCGCGUGAGUGAAGAAGGUUUUCGGAUCGUAAAACUCUGUUGUUAGAGAAGAACAAGGGUGAGAGUAACUGUUCACCCCUUGACGGUAUCUAACCAGAAAGCCACGGCUAACUACGUGCCAGCAGCCGCGGUAAUACGUAGGUGGCAAGCGUUGUCCGGAUUUAUUGGGCGUAAAGCGAGCGCAGGCGGUUUCUUAAGUCUGAUGUGAAAGCCCCCGGCUCAACCGGGGAGGGUCAUUGGAAACUGGGAGACUUGAGUGCAGAAGAGGAGAGUGGAAUUCCAUGUGUAGCGGUGAAAUGCGUAGAUAUAUGGAGGAACACCAGUGGCGAAGGCGGCUCUCUGGUCUGUAACUGACGCUGAGGCUCGAAAGCGUGGGGAGCAAACAGGAUUAGAUACCCUGGUAGUCCACGCCGUAAACGAUGAGUGCUAAGUGUUGGGAGGGUUUCCGCCCUUCAGUGCUGCAGCUAACGCAUUAAGCACUCCGCCUGGGAAUAACGACCGCAAGGUUGAACCUAAAAGAAAUUACCGGGGCCCCCACCAAGGGUUGAGCAAGGUGGUUAAAUUGGAAGCAAGGGGAGAACCCUAACAGGGUCUGACCUCCCUUGGACCAUUUUGGGAUAGAGCCUUCCCUUUCGGGGCAAAAUGGCCGGUGGGGCCAGGGUUUUCUUCAGUUCGGUUGUGGGGAGGUGGGGUAAAUUCCGCCACGAGGGCCAACCUUUAUGUUUGGUGCCCUCCAUUAAUUGGGCCAUUUUGCCAGGAUGCCGGGGGCCAACCGGGAGAAAGGGGGGGAGGAGUUAAAUUCUCCUGCCCCUUUUGGCCUUGGGUUCCCCACUGGUUCCAAGGGAAAUUCAAAGGGGUGGGGAGGUGGGGGGGUUAAGUUAUUUUUUAAAAGUUUUUUCCAUUUGGGAUGUUGGGUGCAAAUUGCCUUCCAGGAACCGGGAUUCGUUGUUAUUGGGGGUUCACCCGGCGCGGGGGAUUAGUUUCCCGGCCUUGUUCCCCCCCCCCGGCCCCCCCCGGGGAGUUGGAACCCCCGAAAUUGGUGGAGUAACCUUUUUGGAGCCAGCCGCCUAAGGUGGGAUAGAUGAUGGGGGAAGUCGAUCAAGAGCUUGCCG